CGAAAUUAAUGGACCUAUACAGCGGCGUUUAAUGGCAGAAAGCGUUGCAACGCUGCGUUCGAUCUGGGUCAUUUGGCCGAUCUUUUCUUGGAGGGUCAUCCGGCAAAGGAGGUCUUUGAUUCUGGAUUCGAUUGGGGCAUUUGGGUCCUUGUAUAUGCAUCCCAUUUUCUUGGUGAAGUACUUUAAUUAUGGACUCAGUGAUGGUUUUAUAGGGAUACAAGGCUCUGAUAGUGAUAGUAGCGGUGCCGGUAGCUAAAUCGAC
RNAcentral lists this long non-coding RNA (262 nucleotides) under Olea europaea subsp. europaea. Lineage: Eukaryota; Viridiplantae; Streptophyta; Magnoliopsida; Lamiales; Oleaceae. The record is from RNAcentral.